This 23-nucleotide microRNA is filed under the name Cordylochernes scorpioides. The record is from RNAcentral. Lineage: Eukaryota; Metazoa; Arthropoda; Arachnida; Pseudoscorpiones; Chernetidae.
UUCGUAGUCCAGUGUUGCUAGUC